Molecule: long non-coding RNA, 1484 nt
Organism: Dreissena polymorpha
Lineage: Eukaryota; Metazoa; Mollusca; Bivalvia; Myida; Dreissenidae
Exons: 2
Source: RefSeq, a predicted model, not a curated record
AGUUACACCGUAUAGAAUUUUUUCAAAUGCAGUUUUUUUGUAAGUUUAUGAAACCACCUUUCCAGUCAUGUAUAGUUAUAUAUUGGCUUAUCGCUCGGUCAUGGUGAAAUUUGAGAUCAAAGAUUGCGAAUUCUAUAUAUAACAAAGAAGGAAAUUAAUUGGGCAUGUGUAACCUUUAAGAACUUCCGACCAAGUUAGUCGUCUUCCAGAAUGUUGACAAUUUACCAUCAAAAACUCUCUGUAUUGCAAAACAUAACUACCAGAUGUCAUUUUGACCCAAUUAAGGGCUGUUUGCAAUUGGGCUGUUGCACUUGGGGUCCUAAGGGGGGUAAAUGCUUGAAAAUCACUCCGAAACCUGUUCCGAAGACACAUUCUAAGACUACGUAAACACUCGGUAUUGUUUUUCAGUGACAUUUUGACAUUAAUUUGCAUCAAUCUCAAUAAUGAACCUAAUUCCUGUCUUUAUUUCAUCUGUAUUUAUUGCUAUUGUUUACUUUUAGCCUUUUACUAUUUAAAAUGUAAUGUGUGUUGUUUUUCCAUGCAAGCAAUUUUGGACCGACACUGCUAUCUGCCUUCGCUUUCAAUCCCGCCAGGCAGAUCUACUCAGAAUAACACUACUUUGCCUUAUUUUUCCUGUUUGGAUAUCUUGCUGAGUUCAAGUUAAAUCAAGUAUUCAGCUGAAAACACAAAAAGGAUAAUAAUAUUAUGCUUUCUUUCUUGGAACGAUGUUGUUGUGAUAGACCGUGCGUGAAAAACAGCAGGGAAUCUGUAUUUAAGUGACCUCAAUAUUAUACGUAAACCUAAAUGUACAUUUUUAGGUGGUGUCGGAAUUAGUCUAUAGCUCUGCCUGAACUGCUGUCCAAUUGGUUUACAAGUCCGGCUGAAGUGACAGGCCAUCAAAAACUGCACAGUAUGACUGAUUCGGAGACGGCCCUCAACACUCGCCCAGUCGUGUCGAGAGGAUCGGUGUCUUUGCAGAUUACACGGAAUUGAGCACCCGGGCCAGACUGACACUUUCCGGAGCCUGUCCGAGACGGAACUCGAGCCGAGGAAUCAUAGGUCCAGGUGUGACAGAAAACUUAAAGCUCAUGUCUGACGAUGACUUUUUUUGCGUCAGGAAGUAAAGUGUGUUGUUUUCCCAUGCAAGCAAGCCCUUUUGUUGGGUCAAAUGACAUCAGAAAUGCUGCUUCUACAUGGAUUUUACCUAAAAUGUGCCAAAAAAUAUAUAAAAAGUUUGUUCGGAUCUUGUUCAAAACCUGCUAUGAUGCACAUAUAAUGCCAUUGAUGAUUUGUUUUCACUUAUUAAGUCAUAUGUUACAUCUGCUAUGCUAUUAGAAUCGAAAGUGAUGCCUUGUAUGGAGUCUAAGUGCUGUCUGUAUGAUGUAACCAAGGUCGGCUUUUCUACCUUAAUUCUUGACGCGAAACGCUGUUACGCGUGACGCUUUCAACGUCAACUUUAAUGAAUAAAUCUGUGUGUCAUGGUA